Molecule: ribosomal RNA, 301 nt
Filed under: uncultured bacterium
Lineage: Bacteria
Description: partial 16S ribosomal RNA
Rfam family: Bacterial small subunit ribosomal RNA
Source: RNAcentral
CAGUAGCCACGGGAAUACGUAGGUGGCAAGCGUUGUCCGGAAUUAUUGGGCGUAAAGGGCUCGCAGGCGGUUUCUUAAGUCUGAUGUGAAAGCCCCCGGCUCAACCGGGGAGGGUCAUUGGAAACUGGGAAACUUGAGUGCAGAAGAGGAGAGUGGAAUUCCACGUGUAGCGGUGAAAUGCGUAGAGAUGUGGAGGAACACCAGUGGCGAAGGCGACUCUCUGGUCUGUAACUGACGCUGAGGAGCGAAAGCGUGGGGAGCGAACAGGAUUAGAUACCCCGGUAGUCCCUGUCUCUUAUAA